Non-coding RNA from Arachis ipaensis, 2646 nucleotides. The record is from RefSeq and is a predicted model, not a curated record. Lineage: Eukaryota; Viridiplantae; Streptophyta; Magnoliopsida; Fabales; Fabaceae.
CCACACACGAAACUACAAUAAUACACCGUCCAAAAAAAAGAAAUUACAAUAACACGUUUCGUAUCGUUUCGUUUUGCCCUUUGUUCAAGCCAACUUCGUUCUCUAUUUCUCUGUUCACAAACAAAUAAAAGUAUAAAACUCUUAUUUUCCCUUCUUCCAUCACACUUUCCUGCUUUUCGAUCCUUCUAGCCACCAUGAUUCCAGUUAGUGUAAAAUGGCAAAAGGAGCUUUUCAAAGAUGUAGAAAUUGAUACUACCCAGCCUCCUUAUGUUUUUAAGUGCCAAUUAUAUGAUCUAACUGGGGUACCUCCUGAAAGACAAAAAAUUAUGGUCAAGGGUGGUCUGUUAAAGGAUGAUGCUGAUUGGUCAACAUUAGGAGUGAAAGAGGGACAAAAGUUAAUGAUGAUGGGUACAGCAGAUGAAAUUAUUAAGUCUCCAGAGAAGGGAACUGUUUUUGUUGAAGAUCUUCCUGAAGAAGAACAAGUAGUUGCUGUUGGACAUACUGCUGGCCUUUUCAAUUUGGGAAAUACCUGUUAUAUGAACUCAACAUUACAAUGUCUCCAUUCUGUGCCAGAGUUGAAGUCAGCUUUGAUUCAGUACUCACAUUCAGGAAGGAACAAUGAUGUUGACCAGUCUUCUCAUCUGUUGACAGUUGCUACCCGUGACUUAUUCAAUGAGCUUGAUAAAAGUGUCAAGCCUGUGGCGCCAAUGCAAUUUUGGAUGUUAUUGAGGAAGAAGUACCCUCAAUUUGGCCAGCUGCAUAAUGGAGUGUUCAUGCAACAGGAUGCUGAAGAAUGUUGGACACAACUUCUAUAUACACUUUCUCAGUCUCUAAGAUCUAAUGGAUCCAGUGAAAAUGCUGAUGCUGUGAAGGCUCUUUUUGGCAUAGAACUUAUUAGCAGGAUUCAUUGCCAAGAGAGUAACGAAGAAAGCUCAGAAACAGAAUCUGUUUAUUCACUUAAAUGCCACAUAUCUCAGGAGGUGAACCAUUUGCAUGAAGGAAUAAAACAAGGAUUAAAAUCAGAAUUGGAGAAAGCUUCCCCUGCUUUGGGCCGUAGUGCUAACUACUUGAAGGAAUCACGCAUCAAUGCCUUGCCAAGGUAUUUGACAGUUCAGUUUGUCCGUUUUUUCUGGAAGAGAGAGUCCAACCAAAAGGCCAAGAUUUUGCGGAAAGUGGAUUAUCCUUUGGAGUUGGAUGUUUAUGACUUUUGUUCUGAUGAUCUUCGCAAAAAGUUGGAAGCCCCAAGAAAGCUCCUAAGAGAUGAGGAAGGAAAAAAGCUUGGUCUGAAAGGCAGUGAGAAAAGCUCAGUUCAAAAGGAUAACGAUGAAAAAAUGGCAGAUGCAGAGGGAUCUUCAAAUGGAGGAGGCGAGCCAUCUGUAGCUCCAAUGGAAGAGGGUGAAAAAGCUACGCAGAUGACUGGAAUAUAUGAUUUGGUUGCCGUAUUGACCCACGUUCCCUUGUGAUAUCAGUAUAGACAAGUGCAGAAAUUUGAAGGUGUUUAUUUUAGAGGCUGUGAGUUCUGUUUUUGUCUCUAACCAAUGGUUGCGUGAACUUUUUGACAAGUUUCCUUUCCUUGAGAGGUUGGAAUUAAGUGGUUGUGUUACAUCUGAGAGCCUAAUGAUCUCCAGUUCUCGCCUCAAGGUUUUGUCCUUCAAGGCUUGCGUUGAGUUGAAGGAAGCUAAGAUCGAUGCGCCGAAUUUAGAGUCAUGUAGAUAUUAUGGAAACUCCAGCCACAUGCCAGCAGCUAUAUCUUUUGUGAAUUGUUCAAAUCAGGUGGAUUUUGAUUUUGGCUUCCCACUAGAAUCUCGUAUGGAUUUGAAAAGGCUUAGGGCAUUUUUCCAGAACAUAGCACCAAUAAAUGUUAUGGUAUCCUUGUAUCUUGGAAUCAUGAGAGCUUCAUCUAUUGUGUUCAAUGAAGAUGUACUACAAAAUGUUCAAGUCCCUUUGCCAAGGAUCAAAGAAUUGAGGUUAUCGGUAGCUGAAAAAACUGAAGAGUUCUGUGUGCUUCUUAUCAAUGAUUUGUUUUGGAGCUUCCGUCCUGCUAUUAUUUCUUUGAACGUGAGACUUUGCAGCAGAAUAUUCCUUAAGCUACUAUUGGAGAAGCUAAGGUGCAACAACGAGGAAGAGAGAUGCUGCAGUUCAAGUCAAAUGAAAUGUUGGUGGCAUGAUUUGAAAGAUGUCAAAGUCAGAAGCUAUCCUGAGAAAUAUGAGAACAUCAGUGAUUGUGAAGCACUCUUGGAUUCAAUGCCAUUAAAUUUUUCUUUCCCGGCUCUUCGGCUUAACUUUCAGUUAGAGUGGGACUCGUUACAUACUUCUCUGUCCGGCGGGGUCCCAGCGUCAACUAAUUCAUGCUGCAUUGAGGAUUCAUGAUUUGGUUUCCCAACAAUACAUUAUGAAGAUACCAGGUCCAACUUCAAUCGAAGACCUAUUAUGAAUCAUUGCUUGUGGUUGUUGCAUCCCUAAUGUUCUUCUACUAUGACUAAAAGCAGAAAAAUUAGCAUAAUAAUUUUGCAUAUUAGACUGAGAUGGUGGCUACUAGUAUUAUCUGAUGAUGGCACCAUGUUUCAGAUCUUGAUAAUCAAAACAAUGUAUUCACAAAUUGUGCUUAUCUAGUAUAUGAUAUUGUUGCCAUUUAGUUCUCCUUAA